Callithrix jacchus (white-tufted-ear marmoset) is the source of this 4776-nucleotide long non-coding RNA. RefSeq lists it as uncharacterized. Lineage: Eukaryota; Metazoa; Chordata; Mammalia; Primates; Cebidae. The record is from RefSeq and is a predicted model, not a curated record.
GGCCCUUGCUGCCCCAUUGGUGCCUGCUGCUGUUUUAAGAGCAUCAGAACCCAUCGGCCAACCUCCAGGGAAGCACCCCUCUCCCUGCUUGCUUGGGGCCGAAAAUCCCGACCCUCAUGUUUCUAAAGAGAAUUGGGAUCCUAUGUGAAUAAGGUGGGAAAACUGGAAAGAUUGAAUGUCCUUUGGAGUUCACAAAGGUUUGGCAGUGGGAUGAGAAAAACAAAACGAAGCAUAGUGGGAGUGUUGAACAGACUUUCCCAAGAUUCCCAGGAGUCUAUGAUGCUGCUCAAACCAAUAACUUUACUGCAAGAAAUGACAACUUCAUCUCUCAGAGAACCACAGAUCAGAUGCAGAAAAGUAAUUCUUGGAUAAAUUAUAUCAUGGGAGAUACACAGCUCAGCUACAAAGUCCAGCGAUACAACAGACAAAAACAGAAAGAGUCAUGGGAAAACUUGAUGCUGAAAUUAGAAUUCCUAGCAUUGACUGUUACUUCUGUGGGGGGUUGGAGCUGAUGCCUCUUGGAUUAACAGUGCUUCUUUUUUUUAAUUGUACUUUAAGUCCUGGGGUACAUGUGCACAUCCUGCAGUGUUGCAGCAUAGAUACUCACAUGCCAUGGUGGUUUGCAGUCUCCUUCUGGCGGUCUCCUACAUCAGGCUUUCUCCCAGUGUUUUCCCUCCCCAGCCUCCCCGCCCUCUGCUGCCCCUCCCCUAGCCCCCAGCCUCCAACCUACCCCAGUGUGUGAUGUUCCCCUCCCUAUGCCCAAGUGUUCUCAUUGUUCAACACCCUCCUAUGAGUGAAAACAUUCAGUGUUUGGUUUUCUGUUCUUGUGUCAGUUUGCUGAGAAUGAUGGUUUGCAGAUUCAAAGGACACAAACUAGUCAUUUUUUAUGGCUGCAUAUUAUUCCAUGGUGUAUAUGUGCCACAUUUUCUUUAUCCAGUCUAUCCUUGAUGGGCAUUUGGGUUGGUUCCAGGUCUUUGCUAUUGUAAACAGUGCUGCAAUGAACAUACAUGUGCAUGCGUCUCUAUAGUAGAAUGAUUUAUAAUCCUUUUGGUAUAUACCCAGUAAUGGGAUUGCUGGGUAAAAUGGACUUUCUAUUUCUAGAUCCUUGAGUAAUCACCACACUGUCUUCCACAGUGGCUAAACUAAUUUACACUCCCACCAACAGUGUAAAAGUGUACCUUUUUCUCCACAUCCUCUCCAGCAUCUGUUGUCUCCAGAUUUUUAAUGAACACCAUUCUAACUGGUGUGAGGUGGUAUCUCAAUGUGAUUUUGAUUUGCAUUUCUCUGAUGACCAGUGAUGAUGAGCAUUUUUUUGUUUUGUUUUUUUUUUUUUUUUUUUUUUUUUUGAGACGGAGUUUCGCUUUUGUUACCCAGGCUGGAGUGCAAUGGCACGAUCUCGGCUCAUUGCAACCUCCGCCUCCUGGGUUCAGGCAAUUCCCCUGCCUCAGCCUCCUGAGUAGCUGGGAUUACAGGCACACGCCACCAUGCCCAGCUAAUUUUUGUAUCUUUAGAAGAGACGGGGUUUCACCAUUUUGACCAGGAUGGUCUCGAUCUCUUGACCUCGUGAUCCACCCACCUCAGCCUCCCAAAGUGCUGGGAUUACAGGCUUGAGCCACCGCACCCUGAAUUUUUUCAUAAGUUUGUUGGUCGUACAAAUGUCUUCUUUUGAAAAGCGUCUGUUCAUUUCCUUCACCCACUUUUUGAUGGGGUUGUGUACUUUUUUCUUGUAAAUCUGCUUUAGUUCUUUGUAGAUUCUGGAUAGUAGCCCUUUGUCAAAUGGGCAGAUAGCAAAAGGUUUUUCCCAUUCUGUUGGUUGCUGAUUCGCUCUAAUGAUUGUUUCUUCUGUUGUGCAGAAACUCUUAAGUUUAAUUAUCCCAUUUGUCUAUUUUGGCUUUUGGAUUCAUUUUUAGGAUGCAUAAAAGGAAAUUACCUGUCUAUGAAGGGCAAUUUGGUGUGCUUCUCAAAAAUACAAACAAAAAAAGGAGGAAAAACAAACACAUUCUGAAUUCUAACAAUUAUUAUUUUUAGGAAUUUAUCUUACAAAUAUGUUCACUCAUGUGAAAGAGACUUACAUACAAAGACUAUUUGAAAGAAUUGUUUGUACUAUUAAAAGACUGAACACAACUAGAUCUGGAAGGAAACAAUAAAUUAUGCAAAUCCAUUUAGUGCAACAUCCUGUAGCUAUUAAAACUGGGGAACAAUUAAGGGAGAUUGAAGGAUAUUGAGGUAUAUAGUCAUAUUAAAACAAAGAAUGAUUUCUAAGAUAGAUAAUUUUGUAAAACAAAUCAACUUGCCAAAAGUGUAUAAUAAAGUAUAUUUCUGUAGAUCCUUACACAUGUAUAGAAAUACAAAAGCUAAAUUAAAUCCACCUGAAAAUCAAUGAAAUCAUAGAAUUUUGUGAGACUUAUGAAUGAGUUAUGUGAAAGACAAGAAUCAUUGCUCUCUCAGAAUAAAGAAGAAAUUGGCAGUGAGAUGAAAAUUAUAAAAGAAUAUUGGUAUGGAAGAGUGAGAAGAGUCAACUCAAGUGGAUUUCUUGUUCUUAAGAAAGAUCCCAGAAAAAAAGGAUAGAAUCAAUAACAUAAUGAAAGAAUAAUUUCUUAAGCUAAAGAAUUAGGCAACAUUAUGAACUUAUGGAAUCCAUACUUUGAAAUUUAGGAACAAAAAAUAGAGUAUUUUAGUUACCUAGGUAGGUAAGAAAUACCUACAUAGGAGAAAAUAUGAUUUUAAACUUCACUUCUAAAACAUUAUUUUUUAAAUCAAUAUCAAAAUAUAAAUAUAAAAUAAUUGCCAUAAUUUUGAAAUUAUCUUUUACCUAAAUUAUUAAUCACAUUGGACAUUAAUUUUGGACAUACAUGAGUAACAGUAGGAUAAUCCUAGGAAAAAGAUAUACACACAUGCAUAUGACAAAACAUGUGAUAGGAUGUUUAAAAACAAAAACAUUGAUCAGUUCAACUAAAAAUAGCAAAGCCGGCAAUAUUAUUUCAUACAAUGUAAAUACAUUUUUAUGACAAAAAUAUUAAACUAUAUAUAUAUACAAAAAAGUAGAAUAGAAUAUUCAAAAACUGUGGGACUACUAAAGAUAUAACAUAUAUAUAAUGGGAAUAUGAAAAGAAGCAAUAAUAAAAAAAGGGACAGAAGCAAUGUUUAAAUCAAUAACUAUUAAUAUUUGCUUGCUAAAUUAGCAUAACACUAUUAGAAAAAUAAGGGUAAACAUAAGGUAAGAAACAUGUAAUUUCUUUGAGAAAUUCUACCUCCAUCUUUGUCUUUCUUUGAUAAGGCAAUAAAUCAAAGCAAAAUACUUGAAAAAUAUAAUACGUAAGACCACAUUUCUAGGUAUACAUAAACAUCUCAACCACAGAAAAUAUUUUUUCCCUAAGCUUACAUGAAAAUUGAGCCUUCCCAAAAUGUAAUUACCUUCACUCCCAUGUAGUAUAAAAUAUACUCUAUGAAAAAAAUAUAAGCUAGAAAAUAAUAAUUAAUAUUUUAAGCCAUAACAAAAGCAAGCAUUUUAACAUUUAGAAAUUAAAUAUUUAUGGAGUCAAUGAUGAAACUUAAGAAUGUUAAAGAAAUAUAAUGUGAGAAUGUAAGAAAUGUGAUGUUAAAGAUAAAGAGAGUAGAUACAAAAUGGAGUCACUCAUGCUGAAGUUUCAUUCCACCAAAAUGAAACUUAAGUUUUUGAGCUUUCAUAAAACCAGGCACAAAAAUGACAGCAAAAUUAUGUUACUCCAACAAUAUUUUGCUUUCAUCCCUAUUUAAAAAUUAACCUCAAAAUGAUCAAUUUGCUAUGUUUUUCUUGUUUCUUCUUUUCUCCGCAUUUUUGCACAUGUAGAACUUAUUCCUUCUGUUUAGUUCACUAAAGCUCCUUUUUAUUUUGUAGACCGGAUAAUACCUAGUCUAUGAAUUGCUAAUAAAAAGCCAAUUAGAACUUUGACACUGAAUUUGUGGAAAUGUUAUCUACAGUGACAAUCAUAAAUUGUUAAAGAAAUAACAAAAAAAAUUACAACAUGUGAAAUUUAUGGGAAACCUCCCAAAUGAGACAGUAUUCUUUGUUUUAGGUAUUUAUUUUAAGGAAAUAAUAAAAAUAAUUCAGAGCCAAAUCUUAAAGCAUAUUACAAAGAACUGGCAUUUUGUAUACUAUGGUAUUGUUUGCUUUACUUUUCUGUUUACAUUUCUAAUAGAUUUUAUGUAUUUUAAUUAAUAAACUUUAUUUUUUAGAGCAGUUUUAGGCUCACAGAAAAAGUACAUGGGAAGUAAAGAGAAUUCCUAUAUAUUCCCAUUCCUACACAUGCACAUCUUCCCCCACUAUUGACAUCCCAUGCUACAGUGGUACAUUUUUUAUAAUCAGUGAAGUUACAUUGGCACAACAUUAUAAUCCAAAGUUCUUAACUUACAUGAACAUUCACUCAUGGUGUUCUACAAAUGUAUAAUAACAAGUGUUGUCCAUUCUAGUAUCAUUCAGAAGAGUUUCUCUGCCCCAAAUUCCUCUCUGCUCUGCCUGUUUACCCUUCCAUUCCACCUAACCCCAGGCAACUACUGAUCUUUCGCUGCCUCCAUUCUUUUGCUUUUCCCGAAUGUCAUGCAGUUAGAAUCAUACAGUACAUAGUCUUUUUAGAUGGGCUCCUUUCACCCAAUAUAUGUUUGAAAUGUUCUGUACACAAAGAAAUGACCAAUGUUUGAAAUCAUGAAUAUCCUAAAUAUCCUAAUGUGAUCAUUAUAUAUUGUAUGCAUGUAUCAAAAUAUCAUAUGUACCCCAUAAAUAUAUAUAAUUAUUAUGUA